UAUUGCGCAAUGGGCGAAAGCCUGACGCGGCGACGCCGCGUGGGGGAUGAAGGUCUUCGGAUUGUAAACCCCCUCCCGGAGGGAAGAUGGAAUGGGGUGACCCAUUCGGACGGUACCUCCAGAAGCAGCCACGGCUAACUUCGUGCCAGCAGCCGCGGUAAUACGAAGGUGGCAAGCGUUAUUCGGAUUUACUGGGCGUACAGGGAGCGUAGGCGGUUCGGUAAGCCCUCUGUGAAAUCUUCAGGCUUAACCUGGAAAAGUCGGAGGGGACUGCUGGGCUAGAGGACGGGAGAGGAGCGCGGAAUUCCCGGUGUAGCGGUGAAAUGCGUAGAGAUCGGGAGGAAGGCCGGUGGCGGAGGCGGCGCUCGGAACGUCUCUGACGCUGAGGCCGAAA
This 394-nucleotide ribosomal RNA is filed under the name uncultured bacterium. RNAcentral describes it as "bacterial SSU rRNA". It matches the Rfam family "Bacterial small subunit ribosomal RNA", at positions 362 to 758 of the family's 1533-position model. The record is from RNAcentral.